This 303-nucleotide ribosomal RNA is filed under the name Hyalomma excavatum. RNAcentral's name for it is "partial small subunit ribosomal RNA". Lineage: Eukaryota; Metazoa; Arthropoda; Arachnida; Ixodida; Ixodidae. The record is from RNAcentral.
CGAAAGCAAAAAAUUAUGGCGGUAUUUUAAGCUUUUCAGAGGAAUUUGCUCUUUAAUGGAUAAAACACCUAGAUCUUACUUAAAUUAGCGCUUUUCAGUUUGUAUACCACUAUUAUAAUAAUAAUUUAUUAUUAUUAUUAAUAUUCUUGCAUUUAGAAAAAAAUUAAGUCAAGGUGCAGCAUAAAUUUAUGAAUGAAGUGAAUUACAUUUCUUUUAAGAAAAAAAAAUUGAAAUAAAACGUUUAGGAUUUGAUAGUAAAAUUAAAAUACAAAGUUAAUUUGAAUUAAGCUCUAAAAUAUGUAC